Molecule: long non-coding RNA, 414 nt
Organism: Neopsephotus bourkii (Bourke's parrot)
Lineage: Eukaryota; Metazoa; Chordata; Aves; Psittaciformes; Psittacidae
Exons: 2
Source: RefSeq, a predicted model, not a curated record
CCAGGCGGGAGGCACGAAGCAGCGUUUCUGAAAUAACAACCCCAAACCUUGCCGUGAAGCAAAAGCAUGAAGUAGAAUCGCCGACUAUGAGGAGGCUGGUUGGGUACUAGAGAGUGAGCGCUCUUUGAAACUUCAGCCAAGAGCAGGUCUACGAGAGAAAUGCAGCUUGUCCUGCUUAACCUGGAAAGAAGCAGAGCAUCUGCAAGAGACUUGAGUUCCCAGCUUCAUUAGUAAUCUUAAAUGGGCAAAGUACCAAGACUGUUGCUGGUUCGCAUCAGAAUGACGCAUCUGAGGGAAUUCCUUUUCCAGAGACAGAUGAGGGGACCAACUGAACAUACAAAGCUGUUCUGUGAAAGCAGUUCAAACCACUUAUGUUUAAAUUGCCUUCUGAUAAUUCCUUAAAUAAAAAGAGGG